GCAUGUGAGGGCGAUCUGGCUGCGACAUCUGUCACCCAAUUGAUCGCCAGGGUUGAUUCGGCUGAUCUGGCUGGCUAGGCGGGUGUCCCCUUCCUCCCUCACCACUACAUGUGCGUCCCAUCCGAAGCUGCACACUAGGUCGAAGAGGAUGACCUUCCCCGAAUAGAGGAAGACCGGUCUUCCGUAAAGGGUAUACGAGUAGCUGCAUUCCCCUGCUAGAACCUCCAAACAAGCUCUCAAAAACCUAGAGAAACAUUUUGCUCUCUUUACAAAACUAUUUCUUUUUAUAAAUUUCUUCAUAAGAAACUACUUCUUUUA
RNAcentral lists this small nuclear RNA (318 nucleotides) under Jaculus jaculus (lesser Egyptian jerboa). RNAcentral describes it as "7SK RNA (ENSJJAG00000006969.1)". It matches the Rfam family "7SK RNA". Rfam says of the family: 7SK was discovered as an abundant small nuclear RNA in the mid-70s but a possible function has only recently been suggested. Lineage: Eukaryota; Metazoa; Chordata; Mammalia; Rodentia; Dipodidae. The record is from Rfam by way of RNAcentral.